ACCAGUGAUCAACAGUAUCAUGAAAGACACACGACCUCGCCAGACAUGUCAAAGAUAAAAUUAUGAAGAGCUUUCAAACAGGUUUAGUUUAUAUCUCUAUAUUUUUUUAAAGCCCAAGCUUUGAAAAUGUCAGGAGGCGCCAUUUAAUCUAUCAUCCAAAAACUGGAAAAUAUACCGCACAACCACAAACCUACCAAGCCAUGGCUGGUUUCCAAAACUGAGAGCAAGCGAAGAGAGUACUGAUCAGAGACAGACGGCAUGUUCACUCUGGAGGCGCUGCAGAAAUCCACAGCUCAGUUGCUGACUCCACCCUGGAUUGGUGACAGCCACUCACAAAUGAUCACUAAACAAGGCGCUGUGAAAGAAUCGAACCCACGCCAGCUGCACAACUCAAGGGGGGUCAAAAAGAGGAUGUCAUUUGGGAUUUGCCCCAACGCCCAAGAUAGCCAACGAUGGAACUUUAGCCCGCGAGGAAUUUUAGCACGUUCACUCGGCGGUGAAGUGACACGCCAGAGAGGCGCUGUGGCGGGCAGACAUCAAGGACGGACUUGGGCGGCUCCUCCAACCUGGAAUCCAAUUCCAUGCCUUGACACCGUGUGGAAUUAGCUUAGAACAGGCCGGGUUUUGCUUGGAUUCAUUUGGAUGUGGACCCGGUUUUCAAUUCCAUG
Long non-coding RNA from Hippocampus comes (tiger tail seahorse), 668 nucleotides. RefSeq lists it as uncharacterized. The record is from RefSeq and is a predicted model, not a curated record. NCBI's taxonomy places the organism in Eukaryota, Metazoa, Chordata, Actinopteri, Syngnathiformes, Syngnathidae. The transcript has 4 exons.